This 237-nucleotide ribosomal RNA is filed under the name uncultured bacterium. RNAcentral's name for it is "partial 16S ribosomal RNA". It matches the Rfam family "Bacterial small subunit ribosomal RNA", at positions 524 to 757 of the family's 1533-position model. The record is from RNAcentral.
UACAGAGGGUGCGAGCGUUGUCCGGAAUCACUGGGCGUAAAGGGCGCGUAGGUGGCGACCCAAGUCUGUGGUAAAAGCUCGCCGCUUAACGGCGAGUCGGCCACGGGAUACUGGGUGCUCGGAGCACUGUAGGGGCAGAUGGAAUUCCGGGUGUAGCGGUGGGAAUGCGUAGAGAUCCGGAAGAACACCGGUGGCCGAAGGCGGUCGCUGGGCAGUAGCUGGACACUGAGGCGCGAC